GGUAAUCAAGGAAAACACAGAACGGUGACACUACUGGGAGACAGAGGGAGUGAAACCAGUUAACAGGACAAGACACAGAAUUAAAGGAGGAACCCAACAUGCCAGCUGCAUGCAGAAAAAGCCCAGGUUGGGAUCCAAACCCAGGCAACAAAAAGUAUGUGGCUGAGGAGCAACUUGCUAAGGGCAUCAGUAGAGCUCACUGCUUUACCAUGGCUUCCUCACAACAGCUCUUCCUUCUGGCAUUUAAAAGCACAAAACCAGGAUUGUACAACCAGUAUUUCUACGUUCUGGGUUUAACCAUUCACAAACUGCAUCCUGUAUUCUUGCAUCUGAGCUAAGUCGGUGUUGUGAAAGGUUUUCGGUUUUAUUGUUCGAAAGAGAGAUCUGCAGCAUAUGUCUUGUGGUAUGAAUGGAAAACAGCUGAA
This is a long non-coding RNA of Girardinichthys multiradiatus, 425 nucleotides long. RefSeq lists it as uncharacterized. Lineage: Eukaryota; Metazoa; Chordata; Actinopteri; Cyprinodontiformes; Goodeidae. The record is from RefSeq and is a predicted model, not a curated record. The transcript is spliced from 3 exons.